This 699-nucleotide ribosomal RNA is filed under the name Triticum aestivum (bread wheat). RNAcentral's name for it is "partial small subunit ribosomal RNA". The record is from RNAcentral. Lineage: Eukaryota; Viridiplantae; Streptophyta; Magnoliopsida; Poales; Poaceae.
AUGGAUCUGGUGGUGGGAGCCUCGCAAUCCACCGUGAAGUCUCUGGUGAGCAAGCUGGGCAGCCUGCUAGCCCAGGAGUACGCUCUGAUCCGGGGCGUCCGCGGCGACAUCCAGUACAUCAGCGACGAGCUCUGCAGCAUGCAGGCCUUCCUCACCAACCUCGGCACCGGCGACGAGGACCACGACGCCCAGAUCCAGGACUGGGCGAAGCAGAUCCGCGACAUCGCCUACGACAUCGAGGACUGCGUCGACGACUUCGCCCACCGGCUUCCCGACGACCCUGGCGGCGGCGGCGGCGGCUGCUGCUCCUCCGUCAACGUGUGGGUCCACGGCAUCCUGACGUGGUAUCCUCGACGCGAGAUCGCCGUGAAGAUCGCCGAGCUCAAGAACCGGGCCGAGCACGUGGGCACACGGCGCACCAGGUACGGCGUCCGCGACCCGGAUCCGGGCAAGAUCGGGGGGAGAUCUGCCGGCGAAGCCGCAUAUCUCGCCGCCGAGAACCAGGUGUCGGGCUGUCAGCUUGUGGGCGUGAAGGAACCCGUGGGCAUGGCUGACGCCAUCAGCGAUCUCGAGCGGUGGGUGAAAGAUCCCAACAAGGCGAGGCGCGUGCUGUCCCUCGUCGGAUUCGGUGGCGUAGGCAAGACCACCAUCGCCAUGGCGCUGUACCGCAAAUUUGGGGGUCAGUUUCUGCUACAAUGA